CAAGAGGGGAGUGGCCCAUUAAACUUCCCACGAAAUCCCAUGGGAAGAAAGCUUUGGGCUUUUGCUUUGCUAUUAUCCUCUCCUCUCACCCACUCUUACAGUGCUUCCUUUCUCUCAAAAACGAUCCUCUCCGGCUGGAGGACGAUCGAAUACUAUUAAUCAUCGGUCUCAUUUCUACAUUCAAGGUUUCAUCUCACGAUGAACAGGUGAAGUGGCGUUGGCUUGCUUGGAUCAGUGGAGUUGUGCUUCUAGGUAGUUAGAGUUAUGACUGUCGAUUUCGAGAAGGAUUUUGCGUUCUUUUGGACCCUGCUCUCGGCUUGGUCGCCGUGGUGAUUCUUCUAGUCUCACUAGUCAAUCAUGUCGAGCUUCUCAUGAUUUGUAUGGACAUUUUUCCGGGGAUUGUUUAUUUUCUGCAGAAUCUUCUAGCUUUAUCAAGGGUGGGGGGUCUUCCCUUGCUUAUGGAAGGGUUUCGGCGUUCAACCUGAAUCUACUGAUGGAUAGUUUCCUUCUGAUUUAUUAUCUGCAAAGAAUGUGGUAACGCCACAAUGUGACAUAGGACUUUAUCAGGACCUUGUAAUUCCAGCGACAAAGUUUCAUAACUAGGACAAGGGCUUAAUGGUUUUGGCUGGUGAUGUUUUUUGAUUUCCCUAUUGGGGAUGAUAUUAUUCUUCGUGUUGUGUGAUGGCAGCUUGCAAAACAACAAUAGGGAGCACAUUCAACUAAAACAACCGGUGAGGUUAGUGGGACUGGAAGAAAGCUAUAUAGACAAAAGGGCACUGGCCGAGCAAGGUAUGGAACAUUGCGGUGGCCCCAGUUUAGAGGUGGUGCUGUCAGGCAUGGUCUUUAACCACAAAAUCAUGCUAUUGAAUUAAACAAGAAGGUGAGGCGUUUGGGGUUGAAGAUUGCUUUGUCAGCUCGUGCAGCAGAAGGAAAGGCAUGUCUCUCUGUCUCUGCGUCUUUGAUUUUUGCACACUCCAAUCAAACGAUGAAGCGCAUGCGACAAGCCAUUCGAUGAUUAAUAUUUCUGCGAUAUGCAUUUCAAGAUGAAAUUUGGCAUUGAUGCUGUGAAAUUUGUUGAGGUUGAAUUGAUACUCAAUGCCACAUGGAAUCCCACUCAGGAUUAUGCGUGUUGCUAAAGCUAUAAGCUUGGCAACAUAAUGACCGUUGUCAGGUCAAGAACACAAGGCUUAAGAGUUGAAAAGGAACGGUUGGCAGGUCAGCAUCACAUCGUAAAUUGUGGGCAUUUGAUUUCGACAUAUCAUACAUGUUGAGAAUACGUAAAGAUCAAUGGCCUAAGUUCGCUCUUCUCAUGCCAGGACAAGAUGCCCUUGCAACUUUUGAAAAUUCUAUCAAGUCAAGAUGGGUCUGACUAUGCCGUAACAAAAUGGUUAAUUAGAGACUAGGUCUGAUUGAGUCUUUUGAAUGGUUUUGAUUUAAAAAUGUCAAAAUUAUUAA
Molecule: long non-coding RNA, 1455 nt
Organism: Populus euphratica (Euphrates poplar)
Lineage: Eukaryota; Viridiplantae; Streptophyta; Magnoliopsida; Malpighiales; Salicaceae
Exons: 8
Source: RefSeq, a predicted model, not a curated record